CCUACGGGAGGCAGCAGUGAGGAAUAUUGGUCAAUGGGCGGGAGCCUGAACCAGCCAAGCCGCGUGAGGGAAGAAGGUACAGCGUAUCGUAAACCUCUUUUGUCAGGGAACAAAGGCGGGGACUAGUCCCCGGAUGAGGGUACCUGAAGAAAAAGCAUCGGCUAACUCCGUGCCAGCAGCCACGGUAAUACGGAGGAUGCGAGCGUUAUCCGGAUUUAAGGGGAUUAAAGGGUGCGCAGGCGGCUUGUUAAGUCAGCGGUAAAAGCCCGGGGCUCAACCCCGGCGAGCCGUGGAAACUGGCGGGCUGGAGUUGGAGAGAAGUACGCGGAAUGCGCGGUGUAGCGGUGAAAUGCUUAGAUAUCGCGCAGAACCCCGAUUGCGAAGGCAGCGUACCGGCUCCACACUGACGCUGAGGAACGAAAGCGUGGGUAUCGAACAGGAUUAGAUACCCUAGUAGUC
This 459-nucleotide ribosomal RNA is filed under the name uncultured bacterium. RNAcentral describes it as "partial 16S ribosomal RNA". It matches the Rfam family "Bacterial small subunit ribosomal RNA", at positions 338 to 795 of the family's 1533-position model. The record is from RNAcentral.